RNAcentral lists this long non-coding RNA (202 nucleotides) under Lupinus angustifolius (narrow-leaved blue lupine). RNAcentral describes it as "long non-coding RNA (LANG_LNC000244)". Lineage: Eukaryota; Viridiplantae; Streptophyta; Magnoliopsida; Fabales; Fabaceae. The record is from RNAcentral.
ACUGAUGCUUCAUGUGACCUGAUUUUCCAUACUCAUAGCAUGUAAAGCCUUCUUUGGGAAUCUUGCUUUUCUUGGUUGAGUUCUUGGCUUCUUUCUUUAGAUUAUUGAUCCCUCCUUUCUUCUUGAGAUACUUCUUGAAUUUUUCAAAUAGGAGAGUUAAGUCUUCAUCGGAAUCAGAAUAUGAACUAGAAUCCUCACUUUC